GCAAAUAAUGUGUCACAUCAUAUGUCAUCAGGGAAAUGCAAAUUAAAACAGCAAUGAGAUACCGCUGCACAUCAGAAUGGCCCAAAACCAAAACACUGACAGCCUCAAAUGCUGGUGAGACUGUGGAGCAGCAGGGAUUCUCAUUCAGGGCUGGUAAUUCAAAAUGCUACAGCCAACAGCUUGGCAGUUUCUUACAAAGCUGAAUAUACUUUUACCAUAGGAUCCAGCAAUCGUACUCCUUGGCAUUUACCUGAAUCAGUUGGAAACUGUGUCCAGGAACUUCUGGAUGGCGGAACGUGUGGAGGUUCCUGGAAGGUGGCCGUCCAGGGAGGGCAUGGAAGUUCUGUGUCCCCUCCUCCAUACCUCACCCUAUGUAACUCUUCAUCUGUAUCCUUAGCAAAGACCUUUACCAUAAACGGGUAAACCUCGGUAUGCCCACGUGACUCAGCGCUGGCCAAUGGAACACGAUCAGAAGCGGUGCGAGAUGACUCUCCCUCUUUCUCUUUCAUUGGAUGGAAUGAGGCCUUAGAAGGGAGCCAUCUUGGACCGGAUGAGGGCAACCAUCCUGAAAUGCUGGAAGACCAAGAUGCAUCUUUGGCAGAUUAUAUUUUCCAAAGAUAGAGGCCACACUAUGUCCCAUUCCACGAGUGCUGCUUCUGUGACUUUGACACUCCUCCUGUUGAGAGGUAGCAUCUAUGUCCCCUCCCCGUGAGCUGCAGCAGGAGGGCCUUUGUGACUCUCUUGACCAAUAGAGUGUGCCAGCCUUGACAGUGUGUGGCUUCCAAAGCCAGUUAAAAAAAAAAAAAUGCCUUUCACUUCCACCUUGCUCUCCUGGGAUGUUCACUCUUGGAACCCAGCCGCCGUGCUGGGAGGAAGCACAAUCAGGCCUUGGAAAGGCCCGCAUGGAGGGGAACCACAGCCCCCAGCCCAAAUCCCCUGCUGAGCUCCCAGCUGACAGACAGCACCAACUUGCCAGCCACAUGAGUGAGCUGUCCUGGAAGUGAUUCUACAGCCUCCGGGCGAGCCACCUCAGCUGAUGCCACGUGAAGCGGAGAUGAACUACCUCCACCAAGCCCUGCCCAAAUUGCGGCUCUGCGAGCAAAAUAAAUGACUGUGAUUGUUAUAAGCAAAAAAGAAAAUGGAUUCCAGUCAAAAACUUGGCCGUGAACGUUUAUAACAGCUUUAUUCAUAACUGCCAACACUUGGUGGCAACCAAGAUGUCCUUUGGUAGGUGAAUUUGUAAACAAACUGCGAUACAUCCAGACAAUGGAAUAUUAUUCAGUGCUAAAUAGAAAUGAGGCAUCAAGCCAUGAGAUGUGGAGGAAUCUUAGAUGCAUGUUACCAGGGGAAAGGAGCCAAUCUGAGAGGCUACAGACUUAAAGCUCCAACUAUGUGAUGAUCUGGAAAAGGCUCUUAUCGAAAUGGAUUUGUGUUCUCUGACCCCACGCUGCCACUGUCGCAGCCAGCUGGAGGCGGGCAGAGGCCGGCCCAAGGUGGACAUGACUGAGUAUGCCACUGCUUGUCAGGGUGCCUGCAGUCACAGCUCGGGAACAGCCAGGAGAUGGCCCUGGGUCUCUGCCACCAGCAGGGACUUCUUUGGGUGACCUGAAGCAGACAGCGGCCAGCUCUGCAGACCUGAGCACCCCAUGUGCCCCACGUGACAUGCAGCAGAACCUGGGGACCCCAGCUACCUGCCCCUCCACCCUGGGCAAGCUCUGGGUGCUGCAGGAAAAGAUGAGAACCAGCAUCGUUCCUCUUCUGCAUCUCACAUCCCAAUAAAAUAUUUAUUAUGUCAAGAAAUAAAUCUUUAAAAAAAGAGAAAAA
Long non-coding RNA from Sapajus apella (tufted capuchin), 1824 nucleotides. RefSeq lists it as uncharacterized. NCBI's taxonomy places the organism in Eukaryota, Metazoa, Chordata, Mammalia, Primates, Cebidae. The transcript is spliced from 2 exons. The record is from RefSeq and is a predicted model, not a curated record.